GUAACCUUUGACAUUAACAUUGUAAUCCUUGAUGGAUCCAAGCACAUUCCACAUGUGGGCUUUAAGAUAGUCUAUCCUGUGUUGAUCGUUAGUCCCUUGUUCCCAGGUUUUGCUUUUGUUAUUAUACUCAUCAACUCCAUUCUCAGUGAUGUAAAUUACCGGAUUAUUGUAUGUAUCUUUCGUGUAAUUCAAAAUAUGUCGGAUACCUUUUGGAUAGAUAUACAACCACGGAGAAUAAGCCUGAGGACCAAUGGGUUGACCAUCAUCAUCAUAAGCAGUUUGAGUAACUUGGCUGUCAGUUUUGU
This 305-nucleotide unclassified non-coding RNA is filed under the name Hevea brasiliensis (rubber tree). Lineage: Eukaryota; Viridiplantae; Streptophyta; Magnoliopsida; Malpighiales; Euphorbiaceae. The record is from RNAcentral.